UCUUCGGAAUUAGAGACCGGCGCACGGGUGCGUAACGCGUAUGCAAUCUACCUUUCACAGAGGGAUAGCCCAGAGAAAUUUGGAUUAAUACCUCAUAGUAUAGCAGUUUCGCAUGAAACCACUAUUAAAGUCACAACGGUGAAAGAUGAGCAUGCGUCCCAUUAGCUAGUUGGUAAGGUAACGGCUUACCAAGGCAACGAUGGGUAGGGGUCCUGAGAGGGAGAUCCCCCACACUGGUACUGAGACACGGACCAGACUCCUACGGGAGGCAGCAGUGAGGAAUAUUGGACAAUGGGCGCAAGCCUGAUCCAGCCAUGCCGCGUGCAGGAUGACGGUCCUAUGGAUUGUAAACUGCUUUUAUACGAGAAGAAACCCUCCGACGUGUCGGAGCUUGACGGUAUCGUAAGAAUAAGGAUCGGCUAACUCCGUGCCAGCAGCCGCGGUAAUACGGAGGAUCCAAGCGUUAUCCGGAAUCAUUGGGUUUAAAGGGUCCGUAGGCGGUCAGGUAAGUCAGUGGUGAAAGCCCAUCGCUCAACGGUGGAACGGCCAUUGAUACUGUCUGACUUGAAUUAUUAGGAAGUAACUAGAAUAUGUAGUGUAGCGGUGAAAUGCUUAGAGAUUACAUGGAAUACCAAUUGCGAAGGCAGGUUACUACUAAUG
This 660-nucleotide ribosomal RNA is filed under the name Flavobacterium sp. B147_1. RNAcentral's name for it is "bacterial SSU rRNA". It matches the Rfam family "Bacterial small subunit ribosomal RNA", at positions 77 to 737 of the family's 1533-position model. Lineage: Bacteria; Pseudomonadati; Bacteroidota; Flavobacteriia; Flavobacteriales; Flavobacteriaceae. The record is from RNAcentral.